AGCAGCCGCGGUAAUUCCAGCUCCAAUAGCGUAUAUUAAAGUUGUUGCAGUUAAAAAGCUCGUAGUUGAAUUUCGGGAUUGACACAUCGGUCGUGCCUUAAGGGGUAUGAACUGGUGUAGUCAAUUUCUCACCUUCUGGAGAACCGCGAUGCCCUUAAUUGGGUGCCGCGGGGAACCAGGACCUUUACUUUGAAAAAUUAGAGUGUUUAAAGCAGGCAUUUUGCUUGAAUACAUUAGCAUGGAAUAAUAAAAUAGGACGGCAUGAUUCUAUUUUGUUGGUCUCUAGGAUCACCGUAAUGAUUAAUAGGGAUAGUUGGGGGCAUUAGUAUUCAAUUGUCAGAGGUGAAAUUCUUGGAUUUAUUGAAGACUAACUACUGCGAAAGCAUUUGCCAAGGAUGUUUUCAUUAAUCAAGAACGAAAGUUAGGGGAUACGAAGACGAUCAGAUACCGUCGUAGUCUUAACCAUAAACUAUGCCGACUAGGAAUCAGUCGAUGUUUAAUUUUUAAUGUACUUCGUUGG
RNAcentral lists this unclassified non-coding RNA (520 nucleotides) under uncultured Entrophospora. RNAcentral's name for it is "SSU rRNA". It matches the Rfam family "Eukaryotic small subunit ribosomal RNA", at positions 569 to 1083 of the family's 1831-position model. The record is from RNAcentral. Lineage: Eukaryota; Fungi; Glomeromycota; Glomeromycetes; Entrophosporales; Entrophosporaceae.